AUUGAACGCUGGCGGCAUGCCUUACACAUGCAAGUCGAACGGCAGCACGGGAGCAAUCCUGGUGGCGAGUGGCGCACGGGUGAGUAAUAUAUCGGAACGUGCCCAGUCGUGGGGGAUAACGCAGCGAAAGCUGUGCUAAUCCCGCAUACGAUCUAUGGACGAAAGCGGGGGAUCGCAAGACCUCGCGCGAUUGGAGCGGCCGAUAUCAGCUUAGCUAGUUGGUGAGGUAAAGGCUCACCAAGGCGACGAUCUGUAGCUGGUCUGAGAGGACGACCAGGCACACUGGAACUGAGACACGGUCCAGACUCCUACGGGAGGCAGCAGUGGGGAAUUUUGGACAAUGGGCGAAAGCCUGAUCCAGCAAUGCCGCGUGCAGGAUGAAGGCCUUCGGGUUGUAAACUGCUUUUGUACGGAACGAAACGGUGAGCUCUAAUACAGUUUGCUAAUGACGGUACCGUAAGAAUAAGCACCGGCUAACUACGUGCCAGCCGCCGCGGUAA
This 500-nucleotide ribosomal RNA is filed under the name uncultured bacterium. Its description in RNAcentral is "partial 16S ribosomal RNA". It matches the Rfam family "Bacterial small subunit ribosomal RNA", at positions 30 to 523 of the family's 1533-position model. The record is from RNAcentral.